This 8473-nucleotide long non-coding RNA is filed under the name Capsicum annuum. RNAcentral describes it as "long non-coding RNA (CANN_LNC022359)". Lineage: Eukaryota; Viridiplantae; Streptophyta; Magnoliopsida; Solanales; Solanaceae. The record is from RNAcentral.
AUUUUUUUUUUAAAUUAUAAUUUCUUAUGUGGCAAUGACAUAGCACUGAUUUGGCAAUGACGUGACACGUGUGUAGUGCACUCUCCGUGUGAGAGUGGGAUUUUGAUUUUGAGAGUGAAUUUAAUUCACUUGAAAGUUGUUAAGUGGGUAAAUAAAUGAAAAUUAAGUUUAAGUGCUAAAGUGAGUUUGGAGGACAAGUUUAGGAGGGAAAAGAUGUCUUUUCUCUACUUAAUAUUAUCUAAAUCAUUUUGUAUAAAUAACCAUGCUGUGUUACUUAUUGUUCUUUUCAUUCACAAAGAAGUAUACUUAUAUAGAGUGAAGAGUUUUGGGCGCAUCAAAACUUGAUGAUCAGAACCGGAGGUAACUUUUAACGAAAUAAUAUAGCCGAAGCUGCAAAUUUGAUAAGCAAAAUGACAUUGAGUUUAUUCAAAUUAAAGGUACAAAUAUUUCAUUCGACAUUGUCCUGAUCUAGAAAGAACUAGAACAAUUAGUCGUUUUACUUUAUUUUAUGAAAGAAGCAACAAAAUUUCUUUACUUGGAGCAAAGAAAGGUAUUUGCAGUAGAAUUGUAGAGGCAUUUAGGACAACAACCAGAACAGGGCUUGCACCUACAGUCUUGACCGCAACUGCAAGUAUAAGGUGAGGGACGAGGUGCAACUGCUUUUGAUACGAGUUCUGUCUUAGUCUCAGCAACUAUUUUCACUCUUGGAGACUCAGCAAAUAAACUAUAAUCCAUCAAAAGAAUUAUGUGUCAAAAUCAAUAUGUUACAUCAUUGUUAUUCUAAUAUGUAAAACCAAGAUGACAAAUAUGCACACAAAUAUAUUUUGUAUUUGACGUAAGUAAUAAAACCCAACAUAUAUAGAGGCAUACUUCCUCUAAUUCAUUACAAGUGAAUUGUUGAGACUUUUUCAUGAUUCAAAAUAAGAGAUAAUAUCUCAACGAGACAUGUUUAUGCUUCCUUUUAAGAUGGUUCUUAACUAUUUUACAUUUUCUAGGAGAAUAGUUUAGGAAUAAUUAAAAGAAUAAUAGUGUAAAACAACAUUUGAUUUAUCAUUUAUGUCCCCAGCCUAUAAAUGUUCUGCUUAAGGUAAGCUUGUCAAACGGGCCAGAUUGACCCGCCUGAACCGGCCCGUUUAAGAAAAUCGAGCCAGCUUGACCCGGCCCGAUCAGCCUAUGAUUUGUAGGGUACCGGGUACCGGGCCGGUUUAUUUUUUUGAUUGGGCCCGGUUAGCCUGGCUCGAACCAAGCCCGGUUCGGGCCCGCCGGUUAACCGGCCCGAAUUCAUUUUUUUUUAAAAGUGGGCUUUGGUCCGUUUGGCCCAAACUAACCGUUGGCCCAACGACUAUAUAGCCGUUUUUGGGUCUAAACUGCUAGUUUGACAUUUAUUAUUAAAUUUUUUUUUUUACUUUUAAAAUUAUUUUUUAACCCUAAAAAAAUUCCUAUAAAUACCCUAUACUUUCAAAUCAUUUUCCACAUAAUUUUUCAUUCUCUCAAUUCUCAUUCUCUCUCAAAUCUCAAUUCUCAAACAUUCUACAUAUUUAAUUUCCUAAAGUGCUCACCUUAAUUUUUUAAUUUGGCGAUUACAAAGUACGAGUGGAAGUUUCUAAAGUCGCAAUCUUCGAAUACUUCCAAAAUUUGGUAUUGUCGUUCAUCUCUUACGUUUAAUUUUUAUUUAGUGUGUUAAUUGUUGAAUAUUUAAUUUUAUUAUAUUUGUGUAUUUUGAAUUUUUUUAGUUUAAUUUAUAUUAUGGAUAAAUUAAGAAACUUCGCUACUAAAGGUGUUAAAAUUUUUUGUCCCGCAAGUGGUAGUUGUAGUAAAAAGCGAAUUACUAGCGGUAGAGGUACUUCAAGUACUAGAUAUACCCGUGUGCCUCCGGUACCGCUUAGUCAAUCUUUUGAGGACGAAGUAGGCGUACCUUUAGGUGUAGGUGCCCACGAUAUGGAUUAUGUAGAAGCUCAGGAAAAUUCCAGUAUAGAAGAAGAAAAUAAAGUAGAUGCGGUUAAUUUAGACGAAGAUGAUGAAAAUAUUGGUGAGACACCUGCAGUAGGAAAUGCUAACGUUAGAUCUGAAUCGGUUAAUCUCCCUCCCCAUCCUCCCCGUGCCCCAAGAGCUCGUAAAACAACUAGUAUUGCAUGACAAUUUUUUGAACGUAUAUCAGAUACUGAGGUGCAAUGCAAUAUUUGUCAACGAAUAUAUAAGCAUAAAAAUAGAGGCAAGCAAGGGGGUACGGGUACGUUAAUGAAACAUGUAGGUGAUGCUCACGAAAGAGAGUUACAUAUUGCACGAGGUGGUGCGGAUAUUGGUGGGCCAACACAAACUAGAAUGGACCCAGCAACCGGUCAGGUAAUGAAGAAGUAUAAUAAAAUGCAGGACCGGAAAGAAAUAACUAAAAUGGUAGCUGUGAGUUGUUUGCCUUUUAGUUGUCCUUCUUCUGAUGCCUUUAUUCAUUAUAUUCAAGCAAUUUAUAAUCCUAUGUUUAAUGGUAUUCCUAGAAGUACUUGUCGGACGAAUAUUUUUAGACUCUAUUCACAAUAUUAUUUUUAUUUAUCAACAUUGUUAAAAAAUAUUCAAUGUAGAAUGUCCCUAACUUCUGAUCUUGGGCGUGCUGUAAAUAAAAAUGAUUAUUUAAUUAUUACUUGUCUCUGGAUAGAUAGUAGUUUUAUUAUUCAAAAACGUAUUCUUACUUUUUUAUAUGAUGAAGAUCGUAAACAUACUGGAGAUUUUAUUAUUGAUUCGAUUGCUAAAGUUGCAGAAUUUUAUAGUAUUGAAAAUAAAAUCUUAUGUAUUGCUUUUGAUAAUGCUUCUAACAACAAGACUGCUAUAACAAAAUUAGGGCCCGUUUGGCCAUGAAAUUUUUUUCUUUUUCCGGAGAAUUUUUUUGGAGUUGGAAAUUAUGGUGUUUGGCCAUGAAAAUUUAGAAAAUAAUUCUAGAAAAUUUUUCUAAAAAGGAAAAACAAGUUUUUGUUAUUUUCCAAUUUUUCAACUCCAAUUCCAACUUUUAUUAUUAUUACAUAUAACCCAAUCUUUUAAAUUUUUACAUAAAACUCUCCUUAUAACAUUACUUUUUCAAUAUUACGUAUAUAGCAGUUUUAAAGAAUAAGAUAAUUAUAAUUUCAAAUUUAAUGCUAUCCUAAUUAAUAUAUAUCUCUUUUUCUCUAUCAUCAUUAUUUUUCUCCUUUAUUUAAUUUUCUCUCUUAUAUAAGACAUUAUUUUACUGCUAAUGAUCCUAAUUACUAUAAUAUAAUAAUACUAAUAAUUAUUAUUAUUAUUAUUAUUUUUCUGUUGUGAUACGUACGUUUAAGGAAUUAUAGUUGUGUAAUUAAUAAUGGAUAAUCGUUUUCUAUAUUUAUGGAAUUAAUAAAGUUGUAGCAGAUUAGUUUACCACUGCCACAAAUUAUUCUAAUUUUUAAUUUGAUUAUAUAUAUUAUAUUGUGUACAUCUUUAUUAUACUAUUCAAAUAUAUACAGUUUAUAUCAUAUAUAUGUUAAAAAUAUAAAUCGGUGAUACAUGUCCAAUUUAACAAAUUUAUACCUUAAACUACAACUGCUAUCUUUAUAUACCAUAAUACUUGAUAUCUUUAUACACAAAACAUUAUAUUUAUACCCAUAAAUAUAUAAAGUAUUAUAUUUAUAACAGAAAUAUACAAAGUAUAUUAUAUAUAAAGUUUAUACUAUGUAUAUAUCAUAUACACACAUAUAUAAAUAUAUAAAUUAUUAAGAAACAUACUAAGAAUAUUUAUAACAUAAAUAUACAAAUUAUAUUAUAUAUGAAGUUUAUACCAUGUAUAUAUCAUAUACACACAUAUAUAAAUAUACAAAGUAUAAAGAAACAUACUAAGCAUAUUUAUAUAUUUAUGGUAUAUGAUAUAAUAUACCAUAAAUAUGUAAAGUAUGUUUUACAUAGAAAUAAUUUAUUCACACACAGUAAAAUCUUUCAUGUAUAAGAAAAUUAAAGAAAUAAAUUAGCAGCACCCCAAAAUUUAAUAACAACUUAUCAUGUCAUAUUUUUUAGGAACGAAAAAUAAAGGAAAUAAAUUAGAUAAAUUCCUAAGAAAAUAAAUUUGUUUGAAAGAUAAUAUUUGUUACCUAAAAAAUAGGAAAUAGUGAUCUAUUAAUAUAACAUCCAUAUUUAAAAUUUUUAAAUAUGAGAAACGGCUAUUAAUGUAAAUAUUAUAUAUGUCAUAAUUGAAAUUCAGUAAAUAUGUCCUUGUAGAUGUAAUUAUUUUUAUAAAAGUGGCUAAUUGUGUUCUUUUUCCAUUAGUAGGUAAAUUUUAGUUGGGUGAUUUUGAUAGUUUGUAAAAGUUGGGGCAUACAAUCAUAUUUAAAAAAGUUUUUUCAAAAGUCAAGAAAAAAAAUUCAGAAAAAACAUGGCCAAACACAACUCCAACUCCAAUUUCAACUCCAACUCCGAAAAUUUUUAGUUUUCAUGGCCAAACGGCUACUUAAAAUGUAAGCUAUCUCCGUCGUUACCUGAAAUUUUUCAUAUUAAGUGUGCAUGUCAUAUAUAUAAUUUAAUUGUAAAAGAUAGUCUUGAGUUUUUUGAGCUUUAUAUUGAAAAAAUCCGUCUUGCUGUUAGUUUUAUUCAAGGAAAUAAUCAAAGAAAAAAAAUUAGAGAAUUUAAAGUUAAAUAUCAAGAAAAUGCACUUGCACCGAUAUUGAUGCCUGAGGAAAUUGAUAGUAGAUGGAAUUCUACGUAUGAUUUUUUAAAAACUUGUUAUAAAUAUAGAGUUCCUAUUACACUAGCUUUUAACUAAUAUUGUGGUUCAUUUGCUGAUUCUGCUGAUUGUAUGCUACAUGAUUCUGAUUGGGUUGUAAUUAAUGAUCUUGUUAAGUUUUUAAAAAAAUUUUAUGUAGCUACGGUUAAAUUUCUCGGUGCUUAUUAUCCUACUUUUUUCCUACUGUUUGUAAUAUUUUGGCAUAUAUAGCCGAUAUUUCUGCUUUACUCAAAGAAUAUAAAAAUAAAGAAGGUUAAAAAGAUGUUGUUGGUCCCAUGUUUGCUAAAUUUUAAAAACUAUUUUUUUUCGAUUCCUCCUAUUUACUUGGUUGGUGCUAUGCUUAAUCCGUGCAUGAAAUAUAAUACUAUGUCCCACUUUAGUACUAUUAUUUAUGUUAAUUUAGAAAUAAGUACUAACGAUGAUUCUCAACAAGUACAACCUGAUUUGUGGACGACUAUGGGUGAUGCGAAUGAAUACAUAGAUAAAUUAUAUAAUCACUAUGCUGAUUUAGUUGAUUUAGCCGUACCUACAAAUAUCACUCCAACUGUCGCUCCUCAUUCUCCCGAGGAGCCAUCAUCUUUUAAAAGGCCGGCACAUAGUGAUUUUCUUGAUAACUUUUAUGAUUUAAAUUGUUGGAACAAUGUCGAGAAGGGAGCUUACACAUCAACUUAUCGGGAAGAGUUUAAGUAUUAUCUUCGAUCGCCGCUAGAGGAUCGCAGACGACGGAUCAACGCGUUGGAUUGUUGGAGGAGUAAUUAAACACAAUAUCCUGUUCUUUCAAGAUUAGCUAGAUAUAUCUUGAAUGUUCCAAUGUCAACCAUUGCAUCGGAGGACGCUUUUAGUCAAGGACAACAACAACUUGGAGACAACCGACAUUCAUUGGGAAGCAAUGCAAUGAAUGUUCUCGUUUUCCUCAAAGAUUGGAUUAGAGCCGAACGAAGAAAUCAAGGAAUGAAAGCGGAGCCGAACGACGAGCAGAGACUUGAAGAAAUUAUAACUUCACGGAAGAACUCAGCAGAAUCAAGUCCAAUGCAUGGUUUUGCCCCCGUUGACUUUGACUAUCCUAUGCAAGUUUCAGUUAAUAUUAACAUGAAUGAGUUGAAGAAAAUGAUGCGGAAUCUGUAGAUUUUUCAUUCAUGUAAAUUAUAAAAUUUGGAUCAUUUUGCAAUAAAUAAAAUUCAACAUUCAUUCAUUCCUUAGUCCUUACUUUAUAAUUUUUUCCAUUUAAUGAUUUAAAUUAAAUUUCUAGCUUAAAUUAAAAACUUAGUUUUAAUAUAUUAUUAAUUUACUAUUAAGUAUUAGACUAUUAUUAAUUUAUUAUAUUAAGUAGCAUGUGUUUUAUUUAAAAUAGUGUAUAUAUGUGUAUAUAUUUUCUAAAAUAGUAUAUAUUUAAUGUAUACAUGUGUAUAUGUUUUAUAAAUUAGUGUAUAACUAUACAUAUAGUGUGUGUAUAUAUUGUAGUAUAUAUAUAUAUUGUAGUUUUUUUUAUUUAAAGUAGUACGUAUAUAUUUAAUAGUACGUAUAUAUGUGUAUAUAUCUUUUAUUGACGUAUAUAUUUAACGUAUACAUGUGUAUAUGUUUUAUAAAUUAGUGCAUAACUAUAUAUAUAGUGUGUGUAUAUAUUGUAGUAUAUAUAUAUNNNNNNNNNNNNNNNNNNNNNNNNNNNNNNNNNNNNNNNNNNNNNNNNNGUAUACAUGUGUAUAUGUUUUAUAAAUUAUUAUAUAUAUCAUUAUAUUGUAGUAUAUAUCCUGUAGUCUAUGUUUUAUUUAGAGUAAUAUAUAUAUUUAACUAACGUAUAAUCAUAUACACAAUUACAUGUGUAGUUGUGUAUAUGUGUAUAUAUUUUUUAAAUUCUAAUGUAGUAUAUAUAGUGUAUAUAUAUUGUUUAAUAUAUUAAAAGUGUAAAGGACUUUAGAAAUAUUAUUUGAACUUUUUGUCCUUCGUUAAAAGUCUCUACUUUAGAUAAAAUUGCCCUUUCACUAUUUUCUUAAUAUUUAAUAGUUUAAAAAUUAAUUAAAUAAUUAUAGUAAAUCUUUUCGAAGUCAUAGAAUUAGUGACAAUUAAUAUCUUUUUCAUUAGUUUAAAAAUUUUAAAUCAAUUAAGAAGAUUUGAAAAAUCUUGAAAUAAAUAUGAAAGCGUUAUAAUAAAAAGAUAUAAGAAAUACCAAAUUUGUAAAAGUUUUAAGUAAGUAAUUAAAUAUUUUCUCAUGAUUUAACUUUAAAAAUAAAAAAAGAUUUUAUAUAUAGAAAAAAAAAUAAUCGUACUACAAAUAUGAUUCAAAUCGAUGUAUCUCUCUUAGCCUCUAGCAGCAAGGAAAAAACGUACUACAUGAUAAACUCAAAAGUAAUCAUCCAUUAAUUAAUCACUUGAAACUAAUUCUGUGGUGAAAUAUGUAUGUCCAUAGAAUUAAAUAUAUGUCAUAUUUAUAUUAUUAUAUUAAAAUGUGGUGGAUCUUUGAGAAAUAUUAUUAUAUUAAAAUGUGGUGGAUCUUUGAGAAGUAGAGUAUGAAGAAUCUUUAAAAUGUGAUUUGACCUUUUUGCAUUUUAUUAAAAAACUUUAUAAAAGACAAAAUUAUCUAAUUUUAAUUAAUAAGUCCAAAUUUUUACUGUCUCCCUUCCACCAUUAAUUUAUCUCAUAUGGAAUAUACAUGCCUUAGUGGUCAUUGUCACAGAUUUCUACUUUCUUAAUUAUAUACGAGCCUAGUAUAUGUUAAUUUCUUUUUAUCUUAAUUCAUGUAACACAUAAUUUAGAUAAUUAAUUAUAAAAUAUAAUUUAAAAUUUUAAUUAUGGUGAUUUAUAAUAUUUUUGUUUUUAUUUUAAUUUAAGUGAUACCGCUAUAAUUUUAAGAGUUAUUCAAAUAUUCUAUACUAUCUUUUAAAUUUUUUAAGUUGUUAAUUAUAUGAUUUAUAAUGCUUUUAACAAAAAAUUUCAAUAAGAUAUGAAUACUCUAUCCAUUCCCGUCUCAAUUUACAUGGCACAGAUAAAAUUUCAACAGCCAAUUGAAUUUUUUAAAUACUUUUUAAUAUAUAUAUAUAUAUAUAUAUAUAUAUAUAUAUAUAUAUAUAUAUUGCUCUCUUUAUCUUUGUGUUUUAAAAUACUUUAUAAUACUCUUUCUUCUAUUUCAAUUUAAGUGAGACCGAUAUAACUUCGAGAGUCAAGCAAAUAUUACGAUUGAAGUAGCGAAAAGACAUGUUUUAAAUGACUCAUAAUAACUAAUUGUAAGUGAUAAAAAAUUGCUAUAAAAAAUACUUGUGAAAAUAAUUUAAGUGGGUCUCAUAUAAGAUGUCAAGUUAAUUUACAAUAUCAAGAGUUAAUUUAUCAUUUUAUGUCUAGAUUGCCUUUUUUAUUAAAUAUUAUUAAUUUUCUAAUACUUAGAUGACUUAUAAUAAUCAAUUAAGGGUGAUAUAGUAAAAUUACGGCUGAAGCGCCGAUAUGUUUAUCCUUCAUUUUAUGGAGAUUCUUGACUACUUUAUAUUUUCUAGGAAAAUAAAUUAGAAAUAAUUAAAAAGAUAUUAGUGUAAAGCAAUAUUUAAUUUAUGUCCCGGCAUAUAAAUGUUUCGCGUAGAACGUUUGUGAUGAUCCAACAAUUGAACUAUAUAGAAAGUAUAUAUCAAAUAAAAAGAGAGGAAGCUGUAGAAAAAGAAAGCAGAAAGCUAAAAACAUUUACCCGACAUCACCAAAAGCGCAACAGUGAAAUAGAAAGAAAAAUUGCGAGCCAUCGUAACAAUAUAAGAUAAAUUAUGUGUAUUGCAGUGAGAU